GGUCUAAUAUUCAACAAUGAUAUUAAAUUGCAAAUUUAAAAGUAAAUUUUAUAAAAAUUUUUAGACUU
RNAcentral lists this transfer RNA (68 nucleotides) under Cucujus sp. MJ-2020. RNAcentral's name for it is "tRNA-Cys". The record is from RNAcentral. Lineage: Eukaryota; Metazoa; Arthropoda; Insecta; Coleoptera; Cucujidae.